RNAcentral lists this ribosomal RNA (370 nucleotides) under uncultured bacterium. Its description in RNAcentral is "bacterial SSU rRNA". It matches the Rfam family "Bacterial small subunit ribosomal RNA", at positions 29 to 419 of the family's 1533-position model. The record is from RNAcentral.
AGCGAACGCUGGCGGCAGGCCUAACACAUGCAAGUCGAACGGGCGUAGCAAUACGUCAGUGGCAGACGGGUGAGUAACGCGUGGGAACGUACCUUUUGGUUCGGAACAACCCACGGGAAACUUGGGCGUAAUACCGGAUAAGCCCUUACGGGGAAAGGAUUUAUCGCCGAAAGAUCGGCCCGCGUCUGAUUAGCUAGUUGGUGUGGUAACGGCGCACCAAGGCGACGAUCAGUAGCUGGUCUGAGAGGAUGAUCAGCCACAUUGGGACUGAGACACGGCCCAAACUCCUACGGGAGGCAGCAGUGGGGAAGUAUUGGACAAUGGGCGGCAAGCCUGAUCCAGCCAUGCCGCGUGAGUGAUGAAGGCCCUA